GAUGUCAAGAUGUGCCAUGGCUGACUGCCUCCCUGAGCUGCGAGGAGUUGCUGCUGAGGCAGGAGUACAGCAAUAGAACGUAUGGCUUUUGGUACAGAUUCCUAACCACUGGUUGAACAAGCUGAAAUCAAGAAAAGUAGUUCUUUACUACCUUCAAAAGUGACGCAUCCCCUGCCUUUCCAGCUCAUGCCGAGAUGAUUAGCACUACCUGACACAACAGCUUCCUGAGGAAUUUUGUGAAUGCAGUGAGCUUCAGAAAGCUUGGCAGUGAGAAGAAACACAAACAUGCCUCACCCUCAUCUCGGAGGGUACUCGAUGCCGUGCGUUUUGAAGUCAAGCACUCGAUGAUGUGGAGUACCCUGGUCUUCUCCAUCUCCUGGCCCCAUCCCUGUAGCCAUGGCAAUAGUGUGUCCUACAAAGCGUGGGGCUGGCGCUGAGCAUGGCGCAUGUCUCAUCACCAACAACAGGUAAUCCGAGGAGUGGGAGCCUUUUCUCUCCGCCGUUGCAGCAGUGUGGAGUGUGGUGGAACCGGCAGCGCUGGUCCCCCUGCGCCAUUCCCCUCUCCUCCUCGGCUGCCUCCCCUCCUCAGGCUGUCCUUCACACAGGCAUCAGCCAACAGGAGGGGAAAAAAGACUAAUAUUAAUAAUUGCAUUAUGAGUUCCAAAGCCAGGAAGCUUGACUGGCCUUUUUAUCGCUGAUAUGAUAAUGUGGUGAGCAGAGAAGAUACCAUCAGAGGUUGCUUUCAUCUCUGGAGAUAUUUAAUAAACUAGAUGUCUAUUUUGGUCUCA
Molecule: long non-coding RNA, 788 nt
Organism: Oxyura jamaicensis (ruddy duck)
Lineage: Eukaryota; Metazoa; Chordata; Aves; Anseriformes; Anatidae
Exons: 3
Source: RefSeq, a predicted model, not a curated record